AAUAUUGGACAAUGGGCGAAAGCCUGAUCCAGCCAUGCCGCGUGUGUGAAGAAGGUCUUCGGAUUGUAAAGCACUUUAAGUCGGUUUAAAGGGCAGCAAGUUAAUCCGUUGCUGUUUCGACGGUCUCGACUGAACAGGCACCGGCUACCUUCGUGCCAGCAGCCGCGGUAAUACGAAGGGUGCAAGCGUUAAGCGGAAUUACUGGGCGUAAAGCGCGCGUAGGUGGUUUGUUAAGUUGGAAGUGAAAGCCCCGGGCUCAACCUGGGAACUGCUUUCAAAACUGGCAAGCUAGAGUAUGGCAGAGGGUGGUGGAAUUUCCUGUGUAGCGGUGAAAUGCGUAGAUAUAGGAAGGAACACCAGUGGCGAAGGCGACCACCUGGGCUAAUACUGACACUGAGGUGCGAAAGCGUGGGGAGCAAAC
RNAcentral lists this ribosomal RNA (421 nucleotides) under uncultured bacterium. RNAcentral's name for it is "partial 16S ribosomal RNA". It matches the Rfam family "Bacterial small subunit ribosomal RNA", at positions 360 to 773 of the family's 1533-position model. The record is from RNAcentral.